RNAcentral lists this ribosomal RNA (253 nucleotides) under uncultured bacterium. RNAcentral describes it as "partial 16S ribosomal RNA". It matches the Rfam family "Bacterial small subunit ribosomal RNA", at positions 524 to 776 of the family's 1533-position model. The record is from RNAcentral.
UACGGAGGGUACAAGCGUUAUCCGGAAUCACUGGGUUUAAAGGGUGCGUAGGCGGCUAGAUAAGUCAGAGGUGAAAGUUUGUCGCUAAACGAUAGAACUGCCUUUGAUACUGUUAAGCUUGAAAGUAGGUGAGGUUGGCGGAAGGUGACAUGUAGCGGUGAAAUGCAUAGAUAUGUCAUAGAACACCGAUUGCGAAGGCAGCCGGUUAACCUGACUUUGACGCUGAGGCACGAAAGCGUGGGUAGCGAACAGG